Molecule: non-coding RNA, 1183 nt
Organism: Malaclemys terrapin pileata
Lineage: Eukaryota; Metazoa; Chordata; Testudines; Emydidae
Source: the annotation of a RefSeq genome assembly
UCCACAGAGGAGCCCAUCUUAUCUGCAAAAGACCUCUGAAUCAGUGAAGAGCAGAAUGUUCUGUUAUUCUGUCCAAGUGUUCUUCCCACAGAAGACUACACUUCCAGAAACAUUGGCGCAGCAACAACCAAUGAUAAGCAUCAAGUGCUGGAACUAUAGUGUGGUUCUUCCCAGGAUAUCCAGUAGGUUUCCCCUACUGAAAUGUCUGGCACAUAUUCUCCCUUUAUUCUGCAUGAAGAGAUCCAUGGUGGUGGUCAUUAGACUGGAGGUAGCAACGUUCUCAUUCUACACAUGGUGUCCACGUGGGAGCACCCUGCUGUGCGAAUGCCCAACCAACAUUUCAUUCAUUGGACCCAGGAGUCUCCUCAGAGAGAAGGAAUGUCAUCCUGAUCUCUGGCAUCACAGAAACGAUCCAUCAGGAACUGGACAAUUCCUGAUUCAGCACAUCCAUGGGGUCACCUUCUGCUUGGAGGUUUUUGCACAGCCAUGUACCACUGUGCGUAUGUCUUCGGAGGAGGAACCCAGCUAACCGUCCUUGGUCAGCCAAAGGCAUCUCCCACCGUGCACCUCUUCCCUCCAUCCUCAGAAGAGAUAAAAACAAAGAGCAAAGCCACACUGGUGUGUCUGCUGGGCAGCUUUUACCCAGGGUCAGUCCAAGUCAUCUGGAAAGCUGAUGGCCAGCAGAUCUCCACUGGAGUGGAGACGACCAAACCCUCCAAACAGAGUGACAACAAGUUCAUGGCCAGCAGUUACCUGUCUCUGGAUGCAUCAAAGUGGAAGACCCAUGAGACCUACACCUGCCAGGUGACACAUGAUGGGAAGAGCUUCGAGAAGUCUCUGAAGAGCUCAGAGUGUUCUUAACAGGGGGCUCCGCUGGUUCCUGUGUCAGUCACUAGAGAGUUUCCCAGGGGAGCAGCAAAACUGCUUCCUGUUUGAUGUGAUCCCUUUGAUACCCACUGUUAUUCCCAUGUUCCCACUGCUCUCGCCCCUCUGCAUUCCCUGGAAAUGUCCUCCCUGCUUCAGCCUCUGAUGCAGCCUUGUUACGCUAUUAACAAAACCAGAAACAUUCAGCUAUCGCGGUGUCUGUGCAGAGUUAAACCUCUUCUGUCCUCUUCACACUUACUGACUGUAUUUGAACUAUUUACAUUAUCUUCCAAUAAAACAUGUACCUUUAUCAUCCAAA